AUUGAACGCUGGCGGCAUGCCUUACACAUGCAAGUCGAACGGCAGCACGGGAGCAAUCCUGGUGGCGAGUGGCGAACGGGUGAGUAAUAUAUCGGAACGUGCCCAGUCGUGGGGAUAACGUAGCGAAAGCUACGCUAAUACCGCAUACGAUCUAUGGAUGAAAGCGGGGGAUCGCAAGACCUCGCGCGAUUGGAGCGGCCGAUAUCAGAUUAGGUAGUUGGUGAGGUAAAGGCUCACCAAGCCGACGAUCUGUAGCUGGUCUGAGAGGACGACCAGCCACACUGGGACUGAGACACGGCCCAGACUCCUACGGGAGGCAGCAGUGGGGAAUUUUUGGACAAUGGGCGCAAGCCCUGAUCCAGCAAUGCCGCGUGCAGGAUGAAGGGCCUUCGGGUU
RNAcentral lists this ribosomal RNA (396 nucleotides) under uncultured bacterium. RNAcentral's name for it is "bacterial SSU rRNA". It matches the Rfam family "Bacterial small subunit ribosomal RNA", at positions 30 to 424 of the family's 1533-position model. The record is from RNAcentral.